RNAcentral lists this long non-coding RNA (3902 nucleotides) under Dermacentor andersoni. RNAcentral's name for it is "uncharacterized LOC126529794". Lineage: Eukaryota; Metazoa; Arthropoda; Arachnida; Ixodida; Ixodidae. The record is from RNAcentral.
ACAAUUGAAGGCACUGAAUGCUCAAGGAAUAUUCAUGUAGUAAUGAUUGAUUACACUGGUGCCACUUUUGAGAUAGUUGUAAGUUGAAGUUGAAAUCAGUGACACAAUUUUUGUUGCACAAAUAAAUAGGCUGGAAGGCCAUUUUGGGCUAAAAGGUUACCAAAGUAGGUUGACUCCACUCGGGAAACCUUUGACAAAAGCAAAUACUUACCAUGUGACAACAGUCUAGUCUAAAAAAAGCAUUCAAGUUCACAACAGUGAAGCAAACGAGGCAAUCUUGCAAACAAUAAGCUCCAAAUAAAGAGUGCAACUAUAUAAGUGGAAUAGCUUUGAAACAUUUUAAAUUUCACUUUUUUACAGGAUUUCAUCAUUUAAAUAACAGUUGGGUGGAACAUCAAUGCAUUUUCGCUGCAUAAUGCCUGAUGUAUGUCAUAACUAGGCUAGUCUUAGAAAUCCAACAAAGCGAAGAUGCCUUCACCAGUGCUUGUUUGCUUAGUUGCAACAUGUAUGCUAACAUAAUCAGUUCACAGUCCAAUGCAUGAAAUUUAAAAAGGCCAAAUUACGUUUAUCGACAACCAUCUCAUGCCUUCUGAUAUUCACCAUUUGCUGUGAACUUUGGCAAGAAAAAAAAUCAUUUUGCCUGGAUUCUCAAUUUCAUAGUUGCUGAAAUAAUUGGAAAGUGUUGUCACUGAAACACCUGGCAUAUGUUUCAUUUGUUCUGUUCAUUCUCUCAGAUAUUCAAGCACAUAAUGCAGCGUUUGUUAAAGAAUAGGCAUAAGGUAGGUGUACUUCAUUGUAGACUAAGAUUAUUUGUUAUUUUAUGUGUAUUCGAUAUAAUCACAAGGGAAUAAAUACUAUGUUGAAAGUUGUCCUAUGGUAGAACACUGCAUUGUGGUGUAAUGCAGCACUUAAAAAAGAGGGGGGAGAAUUCUGAAAACUGCUCCUGUCUAUUUCACACUAUUUAUCUCCUUGCCUUUGAAGUAACUUGCAUCAUUGCCUUUGCUCUGCCUCUUCGACAUACCUCAUGAGCUCUUUGCUCUAAUUUUCGUCUUCAUUAUUUGGCAAUGUCGCGCUUGUUGCUAACUUAAAAAGAGAAACUGGCACUCUGCCUUUUUAAAAUCUGAAAACAUAUGGAGACGACUGUGCAAAAGCAUUCCUACAUUGUAAGGAUGUUUAAAUACUCACUCAUAAAUGCAUAGUAAUAUGUAUCUUUUUCAGACUAAACAUUAACUUUUCAAUUGCAGAGUUUUGAAAACUUUGCGGCAGAUUGUGGAUACCAUUUAUGAAUGAAAAACAUGCUCGAAUGUUGACGAGCUGUAUCACUGCACUUUACCACUACACUGAAUGUGUUGCUGGCCUUUCUUUUUGUUACUGUUUUUAAUGUGGGGCCAGUUGUGUAAUGGCAAAUGUAAAGGCUCCCCUUCAACGAACACAUUUUUAAAGCACUUGUAUCAUUCCUUAGGUGCAAAAUUAUGUACAGCCAUGUUUCAGAUUACAUGCCCCAUUAUGUUCAUUUUGAGUGUCAUGUUGUCCUGUCACGCAUUUCUUGUAAUGCUUUUUUGUUGGCUUUCUGUUUAAUUGGUGCCUCCCUAUUUGUUCAUUAAUUUUUUAAGUUGAGGUGGUCGGUGUUUUUCAUAGCCGAUGGUAAUACUUUAACGUAUAUACAUUGUUGUUUUUCCAUGGUAUUUCUAUGGUAUUGCGCACAAUGUCCUUAGCUACUAUUUAAUUUUGUUCCUUGCAUUUAUAUUAUGUUAUGUAUUCUCUGUAUGAGUAUCCAAAAUAAGUAAUGAGUGUCAACAGUGUUAUUGUGUUGUUGUGUUGGUGCAUGUUACUACUGGGCCCAUCAAACUGCUUUGGUUGUCCUGACCUCCAGUGUGAGCUGGGACAUUGAAUACCCUUUAACAAUGUCAUAGUGUAUGUUGUGUUGCAUUUGGUCACAUUAGACCUGAUGUGUGUGAUUAUGUGCACUGCAAAAUGAUUUCAUAUGUUACCCGUAGGGACACCAUGGAGAGUUGAACAGUGUGAGAGUGAACACUGUCUGCCAGUUUGUUGUAUUUGUCAACAUGCAACUUUUUUUAAAAGUGGGGCAGACUGCUGCUUCAGAGACGUGGAACAAUAACACCAGUCAGCAUGGGAAUAGACACAGUGUUCAUGUGAUUCAGUGAAAACUAAAACUAUGAAACAUAAAAACUUGCAACACGGAACACAUUGCAGGCUUCAUGUGCAUCUAGGCCCAUCUAUUAUCCGUGUCAGUGUGAGAACCAAUACUUCACUCCUUGUCUUUGUGGUUUUGCAAUGCCUACGUUGUUGCCACGAAGUUGGCGCCAAGUUUGUGCACUUGGUGGCUACAACUACUCCAGCAAAAAGCAGUAAUCGGCAUUGGCAUAGUCAUUGCUGCCACUUGCAGUGUGUGCCCAAGUUGAUGGUUGUGUCAGCUGCUGUCACACAAGCUGCAGAAGUAGCUGCUGCUAACAUGAAGCACAGAAUUGCUGCCAUUCGCAGUGUUACAAUUAAUGUAGGGUGCUUAGCCGCAAUUUAGACUACCAUUCAGGUGCUUUCAGCAUUUAACUUUGUUUAAAUCACAACUAGUAAUUUAUUAAAGCACUUUUCAUUUUACAAUAUGUGCAAGGUUUGAUAACUGAAGUUCUGUUUUGCACGCUUCCACUUUAUGCUCAAGUCAGUAUGCAUUCAAAAAAAGGUCUAGAAAGGUUAUAAUUUUCUCAAACUGUCUUCGUGGUAUCAUAUUAUGUCAUUACAUCUUUGUAGUUUUGCGGCAUGACUGUAUCAUUAGUCAUGGGCUUUUCUAAUUACAGUGAAAUUGUAGGCUUUGCAUGUUAAACCUAAGACUGCAGAAUAGGGAAAAUCUUUGAAGACAGACAUUAGCUUGCCUUUCGUAGUUCUUGCACAUUCAUGUAUAACUUAGUUGUGUUUAAACACGUUUGUUCGCAGUCUCCUUGAGUAAGUUGCUUGCGCUUACACAUUGAGUGAUGCACAACGUUGAGAACUGCAUCAAGUAAAGGUGCCUUAGAGCAUCCCAGAUGUACUUUCAUGUACUCAUUUUAUUUUAUGUGCUCUGUGGUAUGUAUUUAGGUGCGUUAGCUAUAUAUGACAACUGUGUUAGACAACAGGUGGUUAUGGUGAUCUGGUAAAUUAUUUAACAUGUUGGUGCAUGUUGUGAUGAAUAUUUCUUAUGCUUAGAAACUGUAGAAGAACUGCAAAUAACAUCUUGUAACACUGCUCCAUUUAUAACAUGCCUAGUGGUGUAAUACAGAAUUUUGAUACCUCGCACACUUCCAUGAUUGUCUGAUUUCAUAUGGUGGGGAAGGCGAAUUUUUCCAUUGGGUGAUUCUUCACCACCUAUCUUUUAUCACCACAUAAGUUCAAUGGAAACAUUUAAACAAGAAUUAGGAUGGGUAAUGUAUUAAGUUGCUGAAAUGUUGCGCUGUAAUUUGUUUAACUAAGAAAUGCACUAUGUAAUAUAAAAUGCCCUUCUUUACUUUUACUGGUACUAUUUUUGUUAUGACUGCUAAUUUACACUUCAUUGACGGAACAUUUUCAUUUGUUAACUGCAUUCUGCUAUUCAUCACUUAUGUGCAUUUUUCUAUCUACCACAACUCGUCAGAAAAAAAUGUGCCUGGUAGAAUUUUAAGAUGAGUUUAAUGGUAUAUAAUAUCAUUCACUAGCAAUAUCUGUGAUGUGGCAAAUCAGAAUGUGGGCAUAUCAAUGUUACACCCAGCUGAAAAUUAAGUUUCAGCUGAAGCUGAAACUCACUGCAAGAAUAUUUCAGAAGUGGUUAUUCUUAACGUGAUCUUUCAAGAGAAAAUGAACUUUAUUCAGAAGGAUGGUUAGAAUCCUCUAAAUUGCAAUAUGCGUCAUAGGAGUAAACGUACUGGCAUUUCAAA